AUAGAAAGCGGGCAGACGGGACCAGUAAACACGUGUAAAACGUUACCUUUUGGUUCGGAACAACACAGGGAAACUUGUGCUAAUACCGGAUAAGCCCUUACGGGGAAAGAUUUAUCGCCGAAAGAUCGGCCCGCGUCUGAUUAGCUAGUUGGUGAGGUAAUGGCUCACCAAGGCGACGAUCAGUAGCUGGUCUGAGAGGAUGAUCAGCCACAUUGGGACUGAGACACGGCCCAAACUCAUACGGGAGGCAGCAGUGGGGAAUAUUGGACAAUGGGGGCAACCCUGAUCCAGCCAUGCCGCGUGAGUGAUGAAGGCCCUAGGGUUGUAAAGCUCUUUUGUGCGGGAAGAUAAUGACGGUACCGCAAGAAUAAGCCCCGGCUAACUUCGUGCCAGCAGCCGCGGUAAUACGAAGGGGGCUAGCGUUGCUCGGAAUCACUGGGGCGUAAAGGGUGCGUAGGCGGGGUCUUUAAGUCAGGGGUGAAAUCCUGGAGCUCAACUCCAGAACUGCCUUUGAUACUGAAGAUCUUGAGUCCGGAGAGGUGAGUGGAACUGCGAGUGUAGAGGUGAAAUUUGUAGAUAUUCGCAAGAACACAGUGGCGAAGGCGGCUCACUGCCCCGGUACUGACGCUGAGGCACGAAAGCGUGGGGAGCAAACAGGAUUAGAUCCCUGGUAGUCCACGCCGUAAACGAUGAAUGCCAGCCGUUAGUGGGUUUACUCACUAGUGGCGCAAGCUAACGCUUUAAGCAUUCCGCCUGGGGAGUACGGUCGCAAGAUUAAAACUCAAAGGAAUUGACGGGGGCCCCGCACAAGCGGUGGAGCAUGUGGUUUAAUUCGACGCAACGCGCAGAACCUUACCAGCCCUUGACAUGUCCAGGACCGGUCGCAGAGAUGUGACCCUCUCUUCGGAGCCUGGAGCACAGGUGCUGCAUGGCUGUCGUCAGCUCGUGUCGUGAGAUGUUGGGUUAAGUCCCGCAACGAGCGCAACCCCCGUCCUUUAGUUGCUACCAUUUAGUUGAGCACUCUAAGGAGACUGCCGGUGAUAAGCCGCGAGGAAGGUGGGGAUGACGUCAAGUCCUCAUGGCCCUUACGGGCUGGGCUACACACGUGCUACAAUGGCGGUGACAAUGGGAUGCUAAGGGGCGACCCUUCGCAAAUCUCAAAAAGCCGUCUCAGUUCGGAUUGGCUCUGCAACUCGAGCCCAUGAAGUUGGAAUCGCUAGUAAUCGUGGAUCAGCACGCCACGGUGAAUACGUUCCCGGGCCUUGUACACACCGCCCGUCACACCAUGGGAGUUGGUUUUACCUGAAGACGGUGCGCUUUCCUUAAAUUGAGGCCCCGGGUUGGU
This 1345-nucleotide ribosomal RNA is filed under the name Bradyrhizobium yuanmingense. RNAcentral describes it as "bacterial SSU rRNA". It matches the Rfam family "Bacterial small subunit ribosomal RNA", at positions 87 to 1463 of the family's 1533-position model. The record is from RNAcentral. Lineage: Bacteria; Pseudomonadati; Pseudomonadota; Alphaproteobacteria; Hyphomicrobiales; Nitrobacteraceae.